This 74-nucleotide transfer RNA is filed under the name Deinococcus yavapaiensis KR-236. It matches the Rfam family "tRNA". Rfam says of the family: Transfer RNA (tRNA) molecules are approximately 80 nucleotides in length. The record is from Rfam by way of RNAcentral. Lineage: Bacteria; Thermotogati; Deinococcota; Deinococci; Deinococcales; Deinococcaceae.
GCGCCUGUAUCCCAAGCGGUAGAGGAACGCGGUUCAGAGCCGCGCCAGUGCGAGUUCGAGUCUCGCUGGGCGCA